This is a long non-coding RNA of Dromaius novaehollandiae (emu), 1453 nucleotides long. RefSeq lists it as uncharacterized. The record is from RefSeq and is a predicted model, not a curated record. Lineage: Eukaryota; Metazoa; Chordata; Aves; Casuariiformes; Dromaiidae. The transcript is spliced from 4 exons.
CUUUGCAUUUGUGUAAAUAGUCACAUAAAGUGUGGGACUUGGGACAUAUGUUCACAGUCUCCUGCUGAGCAGUAACAUUGCCAGCAUCUGCUUCAUGACUAAUGAAAGAAAUAAUGCAGCUUGGCAGCACAGUUAUCAGCAGAUUGUCAGACAGAUCUCACUGACAUAAGAGCAGCUAUGCUGAUUUACACCAAAAGCCAGAUCAAUGCUAAUAUGAAGAGGGCCCCAGAAGAUGGAUGUUGCUGACAGAAAACCUUGAAAUUCCAGAGGGACUAAACCCUUUACCUGGACUGUACCAGUAGAAAUGGAGCAAGAACCACAAGCCUUGGGAUCAUCCAUUAAACUCACAGAAUUCCACCAACUGAUCAAUAUCUGUCCUUUCACCUUGCCCUCCCUCCUUCCUUCUGAGCCCAUCUGGCUAACAGGUCAGGACUGAGGAUGUCUAUGUAUUAAACCACUGAAGCUGAGAGACUAUUUGCCAACUCUGGAGGUUUAGUUCCCAUCUGAAGCACCUGCUGCUGGCCCUGGCUCACAGGCAGCUGAAUCCACUGCCGGUGGCCCCUGAUUCACCUUUUCACUAUUUGUGUUUUGUUAGCGUCAUUGGAAGGGUAUGCAAGGAGCAUGGCUUGUCUCCCUCCUACACAGGGCUUUCUGGGAGCUAAUGCUCCUAUCCUUCCCCACCAGGAUGGCUCUUGCUGCCGGCUUGCAAAGCUCUUACUGUGGCCUAAGAGUGGCAUCUAGUGCUCAGCUGCUGCACUACCCUUCAUCAACACAGCUGCACCACUCUACCUGUUCUCACACAGGUUAUUCCACCUGCUGCCCUAAAACCACAGCCAAGGACUCUGUCUUGGACAACGAGCAAAAUAAUUGGGCUGCUUCAAGGGAAUUAGUGUACUUUCCUCAUUAACUGCAGGAUUCAUUGAUUCCAUGGGGAGGAAUCAGUAAUACAGUGAAAUAAUGAGUAUUCUUAUCCUAGUUAACCAGGCCAUGCUCUAUGAAGAGGAUAACAUCUAUAUAGCCCUGACUAGAAGACGGCAAGCUCCAUUUAACAUUUACCCUCUCCUGUACUCUAUUUAAAGUGUUUUUACUAACAUGUACCCAUGGAAACCAGAUCAAAAGUACUAAGCAUUUCCAAAGGCCCUGUCUGUUCUCAGACACUGCAACUUUCAUUUACUACUGCUUAGAAUAAUUUUGUCUCCCAACCCCAAUUUUCUGAGCUCAUUCUUCCUCUUCUUCUACGUGCCUGUCAAGUCUGCAAAGCAGAACCCUUUCAGAUCAAGGCAUCAAAGGUAGACAAGGAACCAGAUACACCCUGUGUCCUUUCUCCACAUCCAAGGAAUAUUUUGGCCAAAAAUACCAGCCAGCAGACUCCAAAACUCACAAAUUGCCUGGAGCUCUUGAGGGAAUUCCUGAAGGCAGCAUUCAUUUUUUUGUUGCAUGAUUUACUCAAAUA